Molecule: ribosomal RNA, 497 nt
Filed under: uncultured bacterium
Lineage: Bacteria
Description: partial 16S ribosomal RNA
Rfam family: Bacterial small subunit ribosomal RNA
Source: RNAcentral
GAUGAACGCUGGCGGCGUGCCUAAUACAUGCAAGUCGAGCGAACAGACGAGGAGCUUGCUCCUCUGACGUUAGCGGCGGACGGGUGAGUAACACGUGGAUAACCUACCUAUAAGACUGGGAUAACUUCGGGAAACCGGAGCUAAUACCGGAUAAUAUAUUUAACCGCAUGGUUCAAUAGUGAAAGACGGUUUUGCUGUCACUUAUAGAUGGAUCCGCGCCGCAUUAGCUAGUUGGUAAGGUAACGGCUUACCAAGGCGACGAUGCAUAGCCGACCUGAGAGGGUGAUCGGCCACACUGGAACUGAGACACGGUCCAGACUCCUACGGGAGGCAGCAGUAGGGAAUCUUCCGCAAUGGGCGAAAGCCUGACGGAGCAACGCCGCGUGAGUGAUGAAGGUCUUCGGAUCGUAAAACUCUGUUAUUAGGGAAGAACAAAUGUGUAAGUAACUAUGCACGUCUUGACGGUACCUAAUCAGAAAGCCACGGCUAACUACGUG